UGGCGGCAGGCUUAACACAUGCAAGUCGAACGGGCGUAGCAAUACGUCAGUGGCAGACGGGUGAGUAACGCGUGGGAACGUACCUUUUGGUUCGGAACAACACAGGGAAACUUGUGCUAAUACCGGAUAAGCCCUUACGGGGAAAGAUUUAUCGCCGAAAGAUCGGCCCGCGUCUGAUUAGCUAGUUGGUGAGGUAACGGCUCACCAAGGCGACGAUCAGUAGCUGGUCUGAGAGGAUGAUCAGCCACAUUGGGACUGAGACACGGCCCAAACUCCUACGGGAGGCAGCAGUGGGGAAUAUUGGACAAUGGGCGCAAGCCUGAUCCAGCCAUGCCGCGUGAGUGAUGAAGGCCCUAGGGUUGUAAAGCUCUUUUGUGCGGGAAGAUAAUGACGGUACCGCAAGAAUAAGCCCCGGCUAACUUCGUGCCAGCGGCCGCGGUAAUACGAAGGGGGCUAGCGUUGCUCGGAAUCACUGGGCGUAAAGGGUGCGUAGGCGGGUCUUUAAGUCAGAGGUGAAAUCCUGGAGCUCAACUCCAGAACUGCCUUUGAUACUGAGGAUCUUGAGUUCGGGAGAGGUGAGUGGAACUGCGAGUGUAGAGGUGAAAUUCGUAGAUAUUCGCAAGAACACCAGUGGCGAAGGCGGCUCACUGGCCCGAUACUGACGCUGAGGCACGAAAGC
RNAcentral lists this ribosomal RNA (679 nucleotides) under uncultured Alphaproteobacteria bacterium. RNAcentral describes it as "bacterial SSU rRNA". It matches the Rfam family "Bacterial small subunit ribosomal RNA", at positions 37 to 760 of the family's 1533-position model. Lineage: Bacteria; Pseudomonadati; Pseudomonadota; Alphaproteobacteria. The record is from RNAcentral.